UACGUAGGUGGCAAGCGUUGUCCGGAUUUAUUGGGUUUAAAGGGUGCGUAGGCGGUCUUUUAAGUCAGUGCUGAAAUACUCCAGCUUAACUGGAGGGGUGGCAUUGAUACUGGAUGGCUUGAAUCCGGGAGAGGGAUGCAGAAUUCCAGGUGUAGCGGUGAAAUGCGUAGAUAUCUGGAGGAAUACCGGUGGCGAAGGCGGCAUCCUGGACCGGCAUUGACGCUGAGGAGCGAAAGCUAGGGGAGCAAACGGG
RNAcentral lists this ribosomal RNA (253 nucleotides) under uncultured bacterium. RNAcentral describes it as "partial 16S ribosomal RNA". It matches the Rfam family "Bacterial small subunit ribosomal RNA", at positions 524 to 776 of the family's 1533-position model. The record is from RNAcentral.